RNAcentral lists this ribosomal RNA (381 nucleotides) under Triticum aestivum (bread wheat). RNAcentral describes it as "partial small subunit ribosomal RNA". The record is from RNAcentral. Lineage: Eukaryota; Viridiplantae; Streptophyta; Magnoliopsida; Poales; Poaceae.
AAACCUUCAAGACUUCUCAUUGGAGUGAGGACGUGGUCGAACAUUCACCCUUCCAUCCAUUGACUCAUUGUUGCUGAUAUCAUAGACAGAUGGGACCUGGAAGAUACACCAAAAACCGAAGAAAAAGUUCUCAAAAGUGCGGAAGAGCGAUAUAGAGGCCGACGACCAACUCUAAGCUCCACGUACAAGACAUACAAAACAGAUGCAGCUAGAUUGGCUAAUCUGUUGAAAGAUUUACAACCAGAAGAGUGGGAAUGGAUGAUUGAGUACUUUGGCACUGAUUCAAUAUUUCAGGUUAUCUCUAAGAUCACUCUUUGUCUACUAUGUGUUCAGAUGAAAUUGCUUUCAGUAUGGUUAUAUUUCAUUUCGAUUAAUUGGUAG